This 401-nucleotide ribosomal RNA is filed under the name uncultured bacterium. Its description in RNAcentral is "bacterial SSU rRNA". It matches the Rfam family "Bacterial small subunit ribosomal RNA", at positions 28 to 440 of the family's 1533-position model. The record is from RNAcentral.
GACGAACGCUGGCGGCGUGCUUAACACAUGCAAGUCAAGGGGGCCCGCAAGGGUAACCGGCGAACGGGUGCGUAACACGUGAGCAAUCUGCCUCGAUGUGGGGGAUAGCCGGCCCAACGGCCGGGUAAUACCGCAUACGCUCUCUGGGUGGCAUCACUUGGAGAGGAAACAUUUUUGGCAUUGAGAGGAGCUCGCGGCCUAUCAGCUAGUUGGUGGGGUAAUGGCCUACCAAGGCUUUGACGGGUAGCUGGUCUGAGAGGAUGGCCAGCCACAUUGGGACUGAGAUACGGCCCAGACUCCUACGGGAGGCAGCAGUGGGGAAUAUUGCGCAAUGGGCGAAAGCCUGACGCAGCGACGCCGCGUGGGUGAUGAAGGCCUCGGUCGGUUAACGACCGUACGUC